Molecule: ribosomal RNA, 499 nt
Filed under: uncultured bacterium
Lineage: Bacteria
Description: partial 16S ribosomal RNA
Rfam family: Bacterial small subunit ribosomal RNA
Source: RNAcentral
GACGAACGCUGGCGGCGUGCCUAAUACAUGCAAGUCGAGCGGACUUUCAAGAAGCUUGCUUUUUGAAAGUUAGCGGCGGACGGGUGAGUAACACGUGGGCAACCUGCCUGCAAGACGGGGAUAACUCCGGGAAACCGGGGCUAAUACCGGAUAAUAUCUUCCUUCGCAUGAAGGAAGGUUGAAAGGCGGCGCAAGCUGCCGCUUGCAGAUGGGCCCGCGGCGCAUUAGCUAGUUGGUGAGGUAACGGCUCACCAAGGCGACGAAGCGUAGCCGACCUGAGAGGGUGAUCGGCCACACUGGGACUGAGACACGGCCCAGACUCCUACGGGAGGCAGCAGUAGGGAAUCUUCCGCAAUGGACGAAAGUCUGACGGAGCAACGCCGCGUGAGCGAAGAAGGUCUUCGGAUCGUAAAGCUCUGUUGUCAGGGAAGAACAAGUACCGUUCGAACAGGGCGGUACCUUGACGGUACCUGACCAGAAAGCCACGGCUAACUACGUG